This 444-nucleotide ribosomal RNA is filed under the name uncultured Rhodobacter sp. RNAcentral's name for it is "bacterial SSU rRNA". It matches the Rfam family "Bacterial small subunit ribosomal RNA", at positions 335 to 797 of the family's 1533-position model. Lineage: Bacteria; Pseudomonadati; Pseudomonadota; Alphaproteobacteria; Rhodobacterales. The record is from RNAcentral.
GCCCUACGGGGGGCAGCAGUGGGGAAUCUUAGACAAUGGGCGCAAGCCUGAUCUAGCCAUGCCGCGUGAGCGAUGAAGGCCUUAGGGUUGUAAAGCUCUUUCGUGGGGGAAGAUAAUGACUGUACCCCAAGAAGAAGCCCCGGCUAACUCCGUGCCAGCAGCCGCGGUAAUACGGAGGGGGCUAGCGUUGUUCGGAAUUACUGGGCGUAAAGCGCACGUAGGCGGACUGGAAAGUCAGGGGUGAAAUCCCGGGGCUCAACCCCGGAACUGCCUUUGAAACUCCCAGUCUUGAGUUCGAGAGAGGUGAGUGGAAUUCCGAGUGUAGAGGUGAAAUUCGUAGAUAUUCGGAGGAACACCAGUGGCGAAGGCGGCUCACUGGCUCGAUACUGACGCUGAGGUGCGAAAGCGUGGGGAGCAAACAGGAUUAGAUACCCCUGUAGUCUA